GGGUUUGAAAAAAUAACAGAGUGACCCCAGAGAACAAUUUGGCGCGUUCUUAAAAUGCUAAACACAUACUUACCAUCUGACCUAGCAAUCCCAUUCCUAGAUAUCCACACAAAAGAAAUGCAAACACAUGUCCAUAUGAAGCCCUGGGCAAGAAUGGUCAUAGCAACAUAUUUUAUAAUAGCCAGAAACUGGAAACAACCCAAAUAUCUAUCAACUAAUGAAUAAUGGAUAAAUAAAAUGUGGUCGAGCCAUACAAUGGAAACUCCUUAUUCAACAAUAACAAGUGAAGCACUACCGACCUAACACAAUAUGGAUGGAUUUUAAAAACAUUAUAGUAACUGAAAGAACCAAAACCCCCCUAAAUAUUGUAUGAUUUCAUUUAUAUGAAAUUUCUAGAGAAGGUGAAAACUACAGACAGAAAAAUGGUCUCGUUCCCUGAGGCUGGGAGCAGGGACUGAGACUACAAAUGGACACAAGGAAACUUUUUAGGUGAUGAAAAUGUUCUGCAACUCAAAUUGUCAUGAUAGCAGCACAGCUGCAUAAAUUUACUAAAACUCACCUCACACUUUAAAAUGGAUGAAUUUAAUAAAAUGUAAGUAAUACUUCAAUAAAGUCAUAUAAAAAUAAAAUUGACUGAUGGAUAGUAUACGAUAAAGCAAAUGCAGCAAAAGCUUAGCAAUUAUAUAAUCUAGAUGACAGGCAUAUAGAUGCCCACUGUACAACUCUUUAAACUUCUUUGUAUGCUUUCAACUGUUCACAGUAGAUGUCAGGGGGAAAGUCUGCCAAAUUU
This is a long non-coding RNA of Phyllostomus discolor (pale spear-nosed bat), 790 nucleotides long. RefSeq lists it as uncharacterized. The transcript is spliced from 3 exons. Lineage: Eukaryota; Metazoa; Chordata; Mammalia; Chiroptera; Phyllostomidae. The record is from RefSeq and is a predicted model, not a curated record.